RNAcentral lists this ribosomal RNA (821 nucleotides) under Torula herbarum. RNAcentral's name for it is "LSU rRNA". It matches the Rfam family "Eukaryotic large subunit ribosomal RNA", at positions 74 to 911 of the family's 3401-position model. The record is from RNAcentral. Lineage: Eukaryota; Fungi; Ascomycota; Dothideomycetes; Pleosporales; Torulaceae.
AUUGCCCUAGUAACGGCGAGUGAAGCGGCAACAGCUCAAAUUUGAAAUCUGGCUCCUUUGGGGUCCGAGUUGUAAUUUGCAGAGGGAGCUUUUGGCGUCGGUCGUGGUCUAAGUUCCUUGGAACAGGACGUCACAGAGGGUGAGAAUCCCGUACGUGGCCGCCGGCCUUCGCCUUGUAAAGCCCCUUCGACGAGUCGAGUUGUUUGGGAAUGCAGCUCUAAAUGGGAGGUAAAUUUCUUCUAAAGCUAAAUACCCGCCAGAGACCGAUAGCGCACAAGUAGAGUGAUCGAAAGAUGAAAAGCACUUUGGAAAGAGAGUGAAAAAGCACGUGAAAUUGUUGAAAGGGAAGCGCUUGCGGCCAGACGUGCCCGCGGUUGAUCAUCCAGGCUCCAGCCUGGUGCACUCCUCCGCGGGCAGGCCAGCAUCAGUUCGGGCGGUCGGAUAAAGGCCUCUAUCACGUACCACCCCUCGGGGUGGCCUUAUAGGGGAGGCGCAACACGGCCAGCCCGGACUGAGGUUCCGCGCAUCUGCUAGGAUGCUGGCGUAAUGGCAGCAAGCGGCCCGUCUUGAAACACGGACCAAGGAGUCUAACAUCUAUGCGAGUGUUUGGGUGUCAAGCCCGAGCGCGCAAUGAAAGUGAACGGAGGUGGGAACCCUUACCGGUGCACCAUCGACCGAUCCUGAUGUCUUCGGAUGGAUUUGAGUAAGAGCAUAGCUUUUGGGACCCGAAAGAUGGUGAACUAUGCCUGAAUAGGGUGAAGCCAGAGAAAACUCUGGUGGAAGCUCCCAGCGGUUCUAACGGGCAAAUCGAUCGUCAAAUU